RNAcentral lists this ribosomal RNA (83 nucleotides) under Geobacillus stearothermophilus. Its description in RNAcentral is "partial 16S ribosomal RNA". It matches the Rfam family "Bacterial small subunit ribosomal RNA", at positions 1 to 80 of the family's 1533-position model. Lineage: Bacteria; Bacillati; Bacillota; Bacilli; Caryophanales; Anoxybacillaceae. The record is from RNAcentral.
CUUUCUUUGGAGAGUUUGAUCCUGGCUCAGGACGAACGCUGGCGGCGUGCCUAAUACAUGCAAGUCGAGCGGACCGGAUUGGG